This 600-nucleotide ribosomal RNA is filed under the name Rhodococcoides fascians. Its description in RNAcentral is "bacterial SSU rRNA". It matches the Rfam family "Bacterial small subunit ribosomal RNA", at positions 88 to 702 of the family's 1533-position model. Lineage: Bacteria; Bacillati; Actinomycetota; Actinomycetes; Mycobacteriales; Nocardiaceae. The record is from RNAcentral.
UACACGAGCGGCGAACGGGUGAGUAACACGUGGGUGAUCUGCCCUGCACUCUGGGAUAAGCUUGGGAAACUGGGUCUAAUACCGGAUAUGACCACAGNAUGCAUGUGUUGUGGUGGAAAGAUUUAUCGGUGCAGGAUGGGCCCGCGGCCUAUCAGCUUGUUGGUGGGGUAAUGGCCUACCAAGGCGACGACGGGUAGCCGACCUGAGAGGGUGACCGGCCACACUGGGACUGAGACACGGCCCAGACUCCUACGGGAGGCAGCAGUGGGGAAUAUUGCACAAUGGGCGGAAGCCUGAUGCAGCGACGCCGCGUGAGGGAUGAAGGCCUUCGGGUUGUAAACCUCUUUCAGCAGGGACGAAGCGUGAGUGACGGUACCUGCAGAAGAAGCACCGGCUAACUACGUGCCAGCAGCCGCGGUAAUACGUAGGGUGCGAGCGUUGUCCGGAAUUACUGGGCGUAAAGAGUUCGUAGGCGGUUUGUCGCGUCGUUUGUGAAAACCCGGGGCUCAACUUCGGGCUUGCAGGCGAUACGGGCAGACUUGAGUGUUUCAGGGGAGACUGGAAUUCCUGGUGUAGCGGUGAAAUGCGCAGAUAUCAGGA